UACGUAGGGUGCGAGCGUUGUCCGGAAUUAUUGGGCGUAAAGGGCUCGUAGGCGGUCUGUUGCGUCAGGAGUGAAAUCUCCGGGCUUAACUCGGAAAGGUCAACUGAUACUGUGCGACUAGAGUGCAGAAGGGGCAACUGGAAUUCUCGGUGUAGCGGUGAAAUGCGUAGAUAUCUGGAGGAACACCGGUGGCGAAGGCGGCAUCCUGGACCAACACUGACGCUGAGGAGCGAAAGCCAGGGGAGCAAACGGG
Molecule: ribosomal RNA, 253 nt
Filed under: uncultured bacterium
Lineage: Bacteria
Description: partial 16S ribosomal RNA
Rfam family: Bacterial small subunit ribosomal RNA
Source: RNAcentral